This 257-nucleotide long non-coding RNA is filed under the name Prunus persica (peach). RNAcentral's name for it is "long non-coding RNA (PPER_LNC003570)". The record is from RNAcentral. Lineage: Eukaryota; Viridiplantae; Streptophyta; Magnoliopsida; Rosales; Rosaceae.
AGCUCUCUCUCUUGGCUCCGUCUGUCAAUUUCUCUUCACUCUGUCGUCGCUUUGCUCUCACUCUCUCAUCUCUUGUCGAUCAGCUCUCACGCUCUCGUCGCUCAGCCCUCAAUCUCUCGUCGCUCAGCUCUGACUCUCUCUUCUCUCUUCCUCUCCGAGCGAAAUCUGUUCAUCGAAGCUGAACUCCAUCGUUCACCUUGAACAGGUACUGUUCAUCGUCAUUUUCUUACAGUUUAGGGUUUCUCUGAAGUUGGUUU